UAACUGCGAGCGAACUGGGAAGAGCUCAUGGCGAAAUCCGCCGUCGUUGCGACGGUCCGGAUAUUUCGCGUAUAGGAGAGACGCUUCCGAACGUCCGCGCCGGUGUAAGUCCCCCUGACUGGGGCUCCUACCCCGAGAGGGUGCAAGGCCCGUAGCGGCCGGCGCGGGCUUCGGAUGUCCUCUCCGGGGAGUCGGGUUGCUUGAGAGUGCAGCCCCAAUCGGGUGGUAAACUCCAUCUAAGGCUAAAUACGACCCGGAGACCGAUAGCGAACAAGUACCGUGAGGGAAAGUUGAAAAGGACUUUGAAGAGAGAGUUCAAGAGUACGUGAAACCGUUCGAAGGUAAACGAGUGGGCCCUCGAAGCCGUAAGGCGGGGGGACUCAGCCGGGCGCCUCCGGCCCGCCGUCGCGCGCGCGCUUCCCCACCGGGACGCGCCGCGGCGGAACCGGCCGGGGUUCCCGGCGCAUUUCCUCCCGCCCUCGGACGCUGCGACCGGUCGCGCGUGCCACGAGCGGUCGGCCUUACUCGCGGGGACCGGCAGGUAGCGGGGGCGGUGCUUCGGCGCCGCCCCCGUGUUUAGCCACCCCGCGAUCGAGAGCCGUUCGCGCGACCGAAGGACUCGG
This 623-nucleotide ribosomal RNA is filed under the name Calicina ensata. RNAcentral describes it as "eukaryotic LSU rRNA". It matches the Rfam family "Eukaryotic large subunit ribosomal RNA", at positions 84 to 504 of the family's 3401-position model. The record is from RNAcentral. Lineage: Eukaryota; Metazoa; Arthropoda; Arachnida; Opiliones; Phalangodidae.